This 393-nucleotide ribosomal RNA is filed under the name uncultured bacterium. RNAcentral describes it as "partial 16S ribosomal RNA". It matches the Rfam family "Bacterial small subunit ribosomal RNA", at positions 523 to 918 of the family's 1533-position model. The record is from RNAcentral.
AUACGUAGGGGGCAAGCGUUAUCCGGAUUUAUUGGGUUUAAAGGGUGCGUAGGCGGUUUGCUAAGCGGGAGGUGAAAUGCCGGCGCUCAACGUCGGAAGUGCCUCCCGAACUGGUGGACUGGAAUGACUCUGCCGUGGGAGGAAUGUGUAGUGUAGCGGUGAAAUGCUUAGAGAUUACACAGAACACCGAUUGCGAAGGCAUCUCACGAAGGGUUGAUUGACGCUGAGGCACGAAAGCGUGGGGAUCAAACAGGAUUAGAUACCCUGGUAGUCCACGCAGUAAACGAUGAUGGCUAACCGCUGGUUUUUUCGGAUCAGUGGCCAAGCGAAAGCGAUAAGCCAUCCACCUGGGGAGUACGACCGCAAGGUUGAAACUCAAACGAAUUGACGGGG